CAUCCCACAAAAAUUCCUUCCCACCAAACUAUCUUCCUACCAAACCUUACCACCAAAAUACCACAAGACUGAAUUUCCUAAGUACUGAACUACCAACCGAUCUACAGAACGAUCUACUUAACUACCCAUAAAACUACCUUUCCACCAAACUACCAACUGCCUAACCAAGAAGCUACCUUCCUAUUGAAAGACAUACUCCAACUACAUUCCAAAGUACCUCCAACCUACCUAGAACUACCUACUAAACUACCUCCUGAACUACCAACCUAUCUUCUGACUGAAAUACCUACCUCCCGAGCUACGGAUCGUUAACAUGCCCAGCCCUAAAUAUUAUAUUUACUGACGUUCCUUUCUGUGUGAGAGACAUGACAGUCUAACGUCGUCUUCGUGCCUCGUCCCUGCUUCAGGUAUCGGAGCGCUAUGAAAGCAGUAACCUGUUGACAGCGUUGCCCUCGUCCUUCUUGGAGCCUCUGCUGUCCUUCACUCUGAUGGAGGAUCCAGAAAUCCGUCUGCUGGUCCUCUCCAUCCUCACCUCGCUCAUCGACAGACGCCACAACAGCAGCAGACUCACCGCUGCCAGCGAGAUGUUUGAUGUGUCAGUGUUGGAGCUGAAGGAGGACCGAUGCUCUCGACAGGACAAUUUGUUCAUCAGGAAGCACGCUCAGCGUCU
This is a long non-coding RNA of Micropterus salmoides (largemouth bass), 670 nucleotides long. RefSeq lists it as uncharacterized. NCBI's taxonomy places the organism in Eukaryota, Metazoa, Chordata, Actinopteri, Centrarchiformes, Centrarchidae. The transcript is spliced from 3 exons. The record is from RefSeq and is a predicted model, not a curated record.